This 433-nucleotide ribosomal RNA is filed under the name uncultured bacterium. RNAcentral's name for it is "partial 16S ribosomal RNA". It matches the Rfam family "Bacterial small subunit ribosomal RNA", at positions 29 to 507 of the family's 1533-position model. The record is from RNAcentral.
AACGAACGCUGGCGGCAUGCCUAACACAUGCAAGUCGAACGAGACCUUCGGGUCUAGUGGCGCACGGGUGCGUAACGCGUGGGAACCUGCCCUUAGGUUCGGAAUAACUCCCCGAAAGGGGUGCUAAUACCGGAUAAUGUCUUCGGACCAAAGAUUUAUCGCCUUUGGAUGGGCCCGCGUUGGAUUAGCUAGUUGGUAGGGUAAAAGCCUACCAAGGCGACGAUCCAUAGCUGGUCUGAGAGGAUGAUCAGCCACACUGGGACUGAGACACGGCCCAGACACCUACGGGAGGCAGCAGUGGGGAAUAUUGGACAAUGGGCGAAAGCCUGAUCCAGCAAUGCCGCGUGAGUGAUGAAGGCCUUAGGGUUGUAAAGCUCUUUUACCCGGGAUGAUAAUGACAGUACCGGGAGAAUAAGCGCCGGCUAACUCCGUG